Molecule: long non-coding RNA, 573 nt
Filed under: Homo sapiens (human)
Lineage: Eukaryota; Metazoa; Chordata; Mammalia; Primates; Hominidae
Description: HSALNT0015781
Source: RNAcentral
GUUGGGACAUUUGGCCUGCCCCAUUGCCAGGCCUUUGCCGGGCUUUUGGUUGCAGGCUGAGGACAACCCAGGAUGUCUUGGAUUAACUCAUGGUCCCGCAUUGCCACAUGAGAUCAGUUGUUCUUGCUCAGACUUCUGCAUAGGCUUGGUGGACUGGAGCAGAGAGAUCAUCUCUUCCCCCUCCCUUGGAAAACCCCUGACCACUUCCCCAAAGUCAGAGGAAGUCAGAAAGAGAAGGUCCGGGGGUCAGCAUGAAGAGUUCAGUGUGAGUGAACAUUGUAGGGGCUGCUGGCCAUGGAAGGGCACUGUCUCUCUGCUUUGACAAUGGUCCCCUUGAACAAGUUCCUUUAGCUCUGGAGGAGACUGCAAGCAUCGGGAUGCCCAGGCCCCAAGGAGGCCCUCUUCCUGCAGAUCCGAGAAGGACUGGACACCUUUCUGGGACUGCAGCACCAGGGUGGCUACGCCUCCCGGCUGGAUCAGGAUUCCUGUCAUCCAUCUGCUGGCCCUUUGGACCACUCGGCCACUGGCAUGCUUUCCAAGUCUGUACCCGUGAGUGGCAUCAACUGUCUCUUG